AGAGUUUGAUCAUGGCUCAGAUUGAACGCUGGCGGCAGGCCUAACACAUGCAAGUCGAGCGGUAGCACAGAGAGCUUGCUCUCGGGUGACGAGCGGCGGACGGGUGAGUAAUGUCUGGGAAACUGCCUGAUGGAGGGGGAUAACUACUGGAAACGGUAGCUAAUACCGCAUAACGUCGCAAGACCAAAGUGGGGGACCUUCGGGCCUCAUGCCAUCAGAUGUGCCCAGAUGGGAUUAGCUAGUAGGUGGGGUAACGGCUCACCUAGGCGACGAUCCCUAGCUGGUCUGAGAGGAUGACCAGCCACACUGGAACUGAGACACGGUCCAGACUCCUACGGGAGGCAGCAGUGGGGAAUAUUGCACAAUGGGCGCAAGCCUGAUGCAGCCAUGCCGCGUGUGUGAAGAAGGCCUUCGGGUUGUAAAGCACUUUCAGCGGGGAGGAAGGCGGUGAGGUUAAUAACCUCAUCGAUUGACGUUACCCGCAGAAGAAGCACCGGCUAACUCCGUGCCAGCAGCCGCGGUAAUACGGAGGGUGCAAGCGUUAAUCGGAAUUACUGGGCGUAAAGCGCACGCAGGCGGUCUGUCAAGUCGGAUGUGAAAUCCCCGGGCUCAACCUGGGAACUGCAUUCGAAACUGGCAGGCUAGAGUCUUGUAGAGGGGGGUAGAAUUCCAGGUGUAGCGGUGAAAUGCGUAGAGAUCUGGAGGAAUACCGGUGGCGAAGGCGGCCCCCUGGACAAAGACUGACGCUCAGGUGCGAAAGCGUGGGGAGCAAACAGGAUUAGAUACCCUGGUAGUCCACGCCGUAAACGAUGUCGAUUUGGAGGUUGUGCCCUUGAGGCGUGGCUUCCGGAGCUAACGCGUUAAAUCGACCGCCUGGGGAGUACGGCCGCAAGGUUAAAACUCAAAUGAAUUGACGGGGGCCCGCACAAGCGGUGGAGCAUGUGGUUUAAUUCGAUGCAACGCGAAGAACCUUACCUGGUCUUGACAUCCACAGAACUUUCCAGAGAUGGAUUGGUGCCUUCGGGAACUGUGAGACAGGUGCUGCAUGGCUGUCGUCAGCUCGUGUUGUGAAAUGUUGGGUUAAGUCCCGCAACGAGCGCAACCCUUAUCCUUUGUUGCCAGCGGUCCGGCCGGGAACUCAAAGGAGACUGCCAGUGAUAAACUGGAGGAAGGUGGGGAUGACGUCAAGUCAUCAUGGCCCUUACGACCAGGGCUACACACGUGCUACAAUGGCAUAUACAAAGAGAAGCGACCUCGCGAGAGCAAGCGGACCUCAUAAAGUAUGUCGUAGUCCGGAUUGGAGUCUGCAACUCGACUCCAUGAAGUCGGAAUCGCUAGUAAUCGUAGAUCAGAAUGCUACGGUGAAUACGUUCCCGGGCCUUGUACACACCGCCCGUCACACCAUGGGAGUGGGUUGCAAAAGAAGUAGGUUGCUUAACCUUCGGGAGGGCGCUUACCACUUUGUGAUUCAUGACUGGGGUGAAGUCGUAACAAGGUAACCGUAGGGGAACCUGCGGUUGGAUCACCU
Molecule: ribosomal RNA, 1528 nt
Filed under: Klebsiella pneumoniae
Lineage: Bacteria; Pseudomonadati; Pseudomonadota; Gammaproteobacteria; Enterobacterales; Enterobacteriaceae
Description: bacterial SSU rRNA
Rfam family: Bacterial small subunit ribosomal RNA
Source: RNAcentral